GUGUUCUUCACUUCAUGAUGGAAGGGCUACUGACCCAGAGUGGAAAGUUUAGCUGGUGUUUUGAUCAGGAUUUCUUACCUUUUUCUUCAUUAGAGAGAUUCUUCUUGCUGCUGUCCUGCUUCAGAGCUGCAAGGAACACUUGGGAAUGACUAAAGCGGUGUCUGUGCUGGAGUCAGAGGAGUGGCAGAGCAGGAGGCACAUCUGUCUGUCGCCUUGCCUGCUGAACAACAAAGGCAGUGCUUCAUAGCAGCGUGGCUUUUGGAUAGGUAGCCCAAAAAAAGCAACCGUGAUCAGAAAUCUGGGUCGUUGUGCUUCCCCUGAGCAAGCAAAGUUAAAGAUAGCUUGGGAGACGUUUGCUGCUUCUCCUGCCUAUUCCUGCUGACAUCCGUGGGGAUUUGCUGGCAUAGUGAGCUACAGGCUGGUGCACUUCAGAAGAAAAGACUCUUCAUCAUCCGUUCCCCAGCUAGUAUCCUGGGUGGCUCUCUUCUGCUGUGUUUCUCCACCAGUUGUGGUGCCCUACAGUGUGUAACAAUUCUUGUGGCUUCCAAGUAAUUAUUUUCAAACGCAUAUGAAGUAACUGAAACUGUCUUGUAAGAAGAAAAAGAAGUUCCAUGAAAUCUGAUGCUGUGUUUAGAGGAUGUUGGUGUGUUCUCAGCAGGUGCGCUUUGCCUACAUGUGGAUCCUCAGGGUGGAGUUUUUAAUUGUUAAAUGAUAUAUGACGAAUCAAAUAGCACGUACAAAAGACAAAGGAAAAGAAGACGAGAAGGUAGAAAAUGGGAAUUCAGGGACUGGUAAAUGUUCUGCACACCAACUCACAGAGUGCAUUUCUAGUUUGAAUGCCAGUGCCUUGCAUCAGCUGGAAGAAUAAGUUGAUAGCUUCCUGAUGCUGCUGUUCAUUUGCUUUUUAUUUGAGUCUGUUUUCACAUGGAUUAUAAAGUACUGCAAUCCUUUUCCUGUAAGCCUGAAUGCAGAAUUACAUCACUUGUUUGUAUGCAGUACAUAGAGCUAAAGUCUCCUGGGAAAUGACAAGUCGUUAGCCUGACUACUUAAUCAUACUGUGAUAUGAAGAAAAAUAUUUGUAACUUCACAGUCUGCCAUAGAACAUCUUCAUGCUUUAUAAUGGUGUGCUCCAAAUGAGAAACUGCUUAACCUUGCUUUGCAGUUCUCUCAUUGUUCUGGAAUUGUUGUUUGAGCAAUGAAACUUAAUUUGCAGUGCAGAACUAUUUUAAUAAUAAAGAACACUUGAUUUCAU
Gallus gallus (chicken) is the source of this 1252-nucleotide long non-coding RNA. The record is from Ensembl. Lineage: Eukaryota; Metazoa; Chordata; Aves; Galliformes; Phasianidae.